GAUGAAGAACGUAGCGAAAUGCGAUAAGUAAUGUGAAUUGCAGAAUUUAGUGAAUCAUCGAAUCUUUGAACGCACAUUGCGCCCCUUGGUAUUCCGAGGGGCAUGCCUGUUCGAGCGUCGUCACGCCCCUCAAGCCGUGCCGUGUGUGUGGUUUGGUGUUGGAGCUCGCCAGUCUGGCGGCUCUUAAAGACAGUGGCGGUGCCGGUGUGAGCUCUACGCGUAGUACAAUUCUCGCGACAGAGCUGCAGCGGCUGCUCGCCAAUCAAUCUUUCCUUUUAAGGUUGACCUCGAAUCAGGUAGGGAUACCCGCUGAACUUAAGCAUAUCAAUAAGCGGGAGGA
Molecule: unclassified non-coding RNA, 340 nt
Filed under: soil metagenome
Description: partial contains 5.8S ribosomal RNA, internal transcribed spacer 2, and large subunit ribosomal RNA
Rfam family: 5.8S ribosomal RNA (bases 1-120)
Source: RNAcentral